UGGGAUGUGGCUCAGUGGUAGAGCGCUUGCUUAGCAUGCCUGAAGCCCUGGGUUCGAUUCCUUAGUAUCACAU
Dipodomys ordii (Ord's kangaroo rat) is the source of this 73-nucleotide non-coding RNA. NCBI's taxonomy places the organism in Eukaryota, Metazoa, Chordata, Mammalia, Rodentia, Heteromyidae. The record is from Rfam.